UACGUAGGUGGCGAGCGUUGUCCGGAAUUACUGGGUGUAAAGGGCGUGUAGGCGGGAUUGCAAGUCAGAUGUGAAAUUCCGAGGCUUAACCUCGGCGCUGCAUCUGAAACUGUAAUUCUUGAGUGCUGGAGAGGAUAGUGGAAUUCCUAGUGUAGCGGUGAAAUGCGUAGAUAUUAGGAGGAACACCAGUGGCGAAGGCGGCUAUCUGGACAGUAACUGACGCUGAGGCGCGAAAGCGUGGGGAG
RNAcentral lists this ribosomal RNA (245 nucleotides) under uncultured bacterium. RNAcentral describes it as "partial 16S ribosomal RNA". It matches the Rfam family "Bacterial small subunit ribosomal RNA", at positions 524 to 768 of the family's 1533-position model. The record is from RNAcentral.